GAUGAACGCUGGCGGCGUGCCUAACACAUGCAAGUCGAGCGAACUCUUCGGGGUGAGCGGCGGACGGGUGAGUAACGCGUGGGUAACCUGCCCUAUACACACGGAUAACGUACCGAAAGGUACGCUAAUACGGGAUAAAGUCGUUGGAUGGCAUCUUCUAACAAUCAAAGCUGCCGGCGGUAUAGGAUGGACCCGCGUCUGAUUAGCUAGUUGGUGAGGUAAUGGCUCACCAAGGCGACGAUCAGUAGCCGACCUGAGAGGGUGAUCGGCCACACUGGAGCUGAGACACGGUCCAGACUCCUACGGGAGGCAGCAGUGGGGAAUAUUGCACAAUGGGCGAAAGCCUGAUGCAGCAACGCCGCGUGAGCGAUGAAGGUCUUCGGAUCGUAAAGCUCUGUCCUCAAGGAAGAUAAUGACGGUACUUGAGGAGGAAGCCCCGGCUAACUACGUGCCAGCAGCCGCGGUAA
This 467-nucleotide ribosomal RNA is filed under the name uncultured bacterium. RNAcentral's name for it is "partial 16S ribosomal RNA". It matches the Rfam family "Bacterial small subunit ribosomal RNA", at positions 28 to 523 of the family's 1533-position model. The record is from RNAcentral.